UUAAAUGAUGAUAAGUGUCAUUCAGACAUUUUUAGUGACUAGCUUAUGCAAUGUUGUCUACUAGUUAACCAUCUUUCGGGGCUGAUU
RNAcentral lists this small nucleolar RNA (87 nucleotides) under Torulaspora delbrueckii CBS 1146. Lineage: Eukaryota; Fungi; Ascomycota; Saccharomycetes; Saccharomycetales; Saccharomycetaceae. The record is from RNAcentral.